RNAcentral lists this long non-coding RNA (464 nucleotides) under Mustela putorius furo (domestic ferret). RNAcentral's name for it is "lncRNA (ENSMPUG00000028898.1)". The record is from RNAcentral. Lineage: Eukaryota; Metazoa; Chordata; Mammalia; Carnivora; Mustelidae.
AUGCGGAUGCCCUUCACUACCUACUCCACACAGGGCCACACCCUUAUGGAGCUCACCUCAGACAGAUCUGGCCUUCUAGUCCUCCAGAUGAUUGUGAUGGCAGGUGCUGAGGUCUUGGCACUUUUCACUUGGAGAAGGAGGCAACAGUGCUGCCAGUCUGAUAUUGCUCUGAACACAGGACCAUUGACGCAAAAAGCAUUUGAGGAGGGGCGCCUGGGUGGCUCAGCGGGUUAAGGCCUCUGCCUUCGGCCCAGGUCAUGAUCCCAGGGUCCUGGGAUCGAGCCCUGCGUCGGGCUCUCUGCUCAGUGCAGAGCCUGCUUCUCUCUCUCUCUGCCUGCCUCUCUGCCUACUUGUGUUCCCUGUCAAAUGAAUAAAUAAAAUCUUUAAAAAAAAAAAAGGCAUUUGAGGAGACUACGUCUGAAGUGAGUCCAACCAGUUGUUACCAGCAUUUUGUUCCAUGUAUU